Helianthus annuus (common sunflower) is the source of this 1084-nucleotide long non-coding RNA. RefSeq lists it as uncharacterized. Lineage: Eukaryota; Viridiplantae; Streptophyta; Magnoliopsida; Asterales; Asteraceae. The transcript has 5 exons. The record is from RefSeq and is a predicted model, not a curated record.
GUUUAUGGGUUCUGUUACAUUCAAUCUCAGUGAGAGUGGAAGACGGGGAAAGUCAAAUGGCGUUUUGUGGAUUUAUGUUCGUAAUAUGUUCGAUGAACAUGUUUACGAGAUUGAGCGUUUGAUUCUGAUUGUUUUGUGGAUUUACAACAUGAAACAUUGAGGUUUGGGGUUUGAGAAGCUAGGGUUUAUGGUUUCGGUAAGUGUUUUUGAUCUAUAAUCUAAUCCAUGUAUGUUUUUCAUGUGAUUAGAGAGAUUGUUUUUUGUUUUGGCUGACUCUUUUUGGAGUGAAGAUUUUCAUUCUUACCCCGCUCUUCAGAAUCUCUUCUCAAAACCAUAGAUAUCACAACAUGUUUCAAAUGUUGUUACGUUCAUUAUUGGGUAGAAGCACACUGGAAUCUUUCCGCUGUCUUAGACGCACAAGGAUAUAAAUGACAACUCUUUAGGCCCUGAUGGUGAUCUUCGAGUCUAUCUAGAAAGUGUGGCCGCCAGUGAAAAUGUCAAAACAUUUGGAAUUCAAGGAAGAAUAGUAAACAUUACAGGAACAGAUGACUGUGUCUAGGUCCUCUCUACCUUCGGUCUUUAGUAGAGGUGGAAAAUGGCUCGAUUGGAUGAGUUAGGUGGAUUUGUUCACUCGACGCUCAUACCGCGUUGGGGGUAGCGAUGCAAACCGGGCAAGCAUCAAUGUCACCGAAGAUGACAACUCUAAGCAAGACCUUAAUCUUAAAUGCGGCACACCUUAGACCAAGUGGUAGUGGUUCAAGUAGUGAUGAUGAUCCGUAAGAGGAUGAUGAUGAUGAUGGUGUAAGUGAUGAAGAGGGUGUGAAGAAGGUAAAAUAUGUGGGUGAAAUAGAAGGAGAGAUAAGAGAUGAAGUGAUUGCUUGGAAUGAUGAUGAAGAAAAUAGCGAGGUUGUGAAAGGUCCGAUUUGGCCGAAGAAUGCGUCUCAUGGGCUGGUCGGGUGGGCUGUUGGGUCAGAAUGAGCCUACUUAUAAAUGGUUAUUUUGGUUCGGAUCAGGACAAGUUGGGGUAAAAAUUGUUUCGUGUCAGAAUAGGCCAAUUUAAAAGUAGUUAUUUUGGCUUGAGACA